UUGAACGCUGGCGGCAUGCCUUACACAUGCAAGUCGAACGGUAACAGGUCUUCGGAUGCUGACGAGUGGCGAACGGGUGAGUAAUACAUCGGAACGUGCCCAGUAAUGGGGGAUAGCUCGGCGAAAGCCGGAUUAAUACCGCAUACGCCCUGAGGGGGAAAGUGGGGGACCGCAAGGCCUCACGUUAUUGGAGCGGCCGAUGGCUGAUUAGCUAGUUGGUAGGGUAAAGGCCUACCAAGGCGACGAUCAGUAGCUGGUCUGAGAGGACGAUCAGCCACACUGGGACUGAGACACGGCCCAGACUCCUACGGGAGGCAGCAGUGGGGAAUUUUGGACAAUGGGGGAAACCCUGAUCCAGCAAUGCCGCGUGUGCGAAGAAGGCCUUCGGGUUGUAAAGCACUUUUGUCAGGGAAGAAAUCCUUUGGGCUAAUACCCUAGGGGGAUGACGGUACCUGAAGAAUAAGCACCGGCUAACUACGU
This 480-nucleotide ribosomal RNA is filed under the name uncultured bacterium. Its description in RNAcentral is "bacterial SSU rRNA". It matches the Rfam family "Bacterial small subunit ribosomal RNA", at positions 30 to 506 of the family's 1533-position model. The record is from RNAcentral.